RNAcentral lists this ribosomal RNA (610 nucleotides) under Paracoccus sp. (in: a-proteobacteria). RNAcentral's name for it is "bacterial SSU rRNA". It matches the Rfam family "Bacterial small subunit ribosomal RNA", at positions 31 to 691 of the family's 1533-position model. The record is from RNAcentral. Lineage: Bacteria; Pseudomonadati; Pseudomonadota; Alphaproteobacteria; Rhodobacterales; Paracoccaceae.
GAAAGGGCGGCAGCUUACACAUGCAAGUCGAGCGAGACCUUCGGGUCUAGCGGCGGACGGGUGAGUAACGCGUGGGAACGUGCCCUUUGCUACGGAAUAGUCCCGGGAAACUGGGUUUAAUACCGUAUGUGCCCUUCGGGGGAAAGAUUUAUCGGCAAAGGAUCGGCCCGCGUUGGAUUAGGUAGUUGGUGGGGUAAUGGCCUACCAAGCCGACGAUCCAUAGCUGGUUUGAGAGGAUGAUCAGCCACACUGGGACUGAGACACGGCCCAGACUCCUACGGGAGGCAGCAGUGGGGAAUCUUAGACAAUGGGGGCAACCCUGAUCUAGCCAUGCCGCGUGAGUGAUGAAGGCCUUAGGGUUGUAAAGCUCUUUCAGCUGGGAAGAUAAUGACGGUACCAGCAGAAGAAGCCCCGGCUAACUCCGUGCCAGCAGCCGCGGUAAUACGGAGGGGGCUAGCGUUGUUCGGAAUUACUGGGCGUAAAGCGCACGUAGGCGGACUGGAAAGUUGGGGGUGAAAUCCCGGGGCUCAACCUCGGAACUGCCUUCAAAACUAUCAGUCUGGAGUUCGAGAGAGGUGAGUGGAAUACCGAGUGUAGAGGUGAAAUUCGU